CCUCUUAUCUGUAGUUAGUAAGGUGAAUCAUCAUUAAACAACUGUGUUCCUAUUCUUAUUACGUGCCCUUCCCCCAUCACAUUGUAUGCCCAUUUUACAGCGGAGAUGGUCCCAGCUGUGGGGUGUACAAAAUCAAGGGGGGAGUCCGGUUCCUCUCUCCAGUGAAGGAGUAACGUAGAUGUGCUUCAGGCCAACAGGGCUUAGCAAGGAAGCUGAGCCUGAGGAAAUCUGCCUUCAUUUUCUUACCAGGAGCCCAUCACCUACAUUGCACACUGGAUUCCGGGUGCCAGAAGGCACCAGGAGAAGCAAAUGGAAGCGCUGAGAUCAUCCUGAGAUAAGGCACCAAAGCUCCCAGGGCCAGGCUCUUGACUUCGAUGCCAGCUUACCUGGUGUCAUGCCAAAAGGAGGAAAAGACAGGUGUGUACAAAUAUUAUAAAACUAAUUCUUGGAACUGGAACUACUUGCUGAAAAAAGUCAUUCCAGCUUGUGCUCCCACCUGUAAGGAGAAUGUUCCUUUCCGGCUAACCUGUAAACCAGCUCUUUUCAUAAGCAAAAUGUGGUCUAAUUGCUGCUUUCUAACAUGGAGAACCCAGUGUGCCAGGAACUUCACAUACACAGUUGGAACUGAUUUAAUUUAAUUUACUUCUUGAAACAAUAAUGAGAGUGUGAGCACAAGGAGACAAAAUACUGGAAGAAGCUCACCUCUCAUCACCCCAGGGAUGCAAAUUAAAAUAAGAUAUCUUUAUGCUUCAAACCUCUCAAGU
This is a long non-coding RNA of Myotis brandtii (Brandt's bat), 764 nucleotides long. RefSeq lists it as uncharacterized. The record is from RefSeq and is a predicted model, not a curated record. NCBI's taxonomy places the organism in Eukaryota, Metazoa, Chordata, Mammalia, Chiroptera, Vespertilionidae. The transcript is spliced from 3 exons.